Molecule: ribosomal RNA, 583 nt
Filed under: Salmonella enterica
Lineage: Bacteria; Pseudomonadati; Pseudomonadota; Gammaproteobacteria; Enterobacterales; Enterobacteriaceae
Description: partial 23S ribosomal RNA
Rfam family: Bacterial large subunit ribosomal RNA
Source: RNAcentral
AGACCCGAAACCCGGUGAUCUAGCCAUGGGCAGGUUGAAGGUUGGGUAACACUAACUGGAGGACCGAACCGACUAAUGUUGAAAAAUUAGCGGAUGACCUGUGGCUGGGGGUGAAAGGCCAAUCAAACCGGGAGAUAGCUGGUUCUCCCCGAAAGCUAUUUAGGUAGCGCCUCGUGAAUUCAUCUCCGGGGGUAGAGCACUGUUUCGGCUAGGGGGCCAUCCCGGCUUACCAACCCGAUGCAAACUGCGAAUACCGGAGAAUGUUAUCACGGGAGACACACGGCGGGUGCUAACGUCCGUCGUGAAGAGGGAAACAACCCAGACCGCCAGCUAAGGUCCCAAAGUCAUGGUUAAGUGGGAAACGAUGUGGGAAGGCCCAGACAGCCAGGAUGUUGGCUUAGAAGCAGCCAUCAUUUAAAGAAAGCGUAAUAGCUCACUGGUCGAGUCGGCCUGCGCGGAAGAUGUAACGGGGCUAAACCAUGCACCGAAGCUGCGGCAGCGACACUGUGUGUUGUUGGGUAGGGGAGCGUUCUGUAAGCCUGUGAAGGUGUGUCGUGAGGCAUGCUGGAGGUAUCAGAAGUGC